UACGAAGGGGGCUAGCGUUGUUCGGAAUUACUGGGCGUAAAGGGCGCGUAGGCGGCUCAUUUAGUCAGGCGUGAAAGCCCCGGGCUCAACCUGGGAAUUGCGUUUGAAACUGGUGGGCUUGAGGACCGGAGAGGAUAGUGGAAUUCCCAGUGUAGAGGUGAAAUUCGUAGAUAUUGGGAAGAACACCAGUGGCGAAGGCGGCUAUCUGGACGGUUACUGACGCUGAGGCGCGAAAGCGUGGGGAGCAAACAGG
RNAcentral lists this ribosomal RNA (253 nucleotides) under uncultured bacterium. Its description in RNAcentral is "partial 16S ribosomal RNA". It matches the Rfam family "Bacterial small subunit ribosomal RNA", at positions 524 to 776 of the family's 1533-position model. The record is from RNAcentral.